Molecule: ribosomal RNA, 232 nt
Filed under: uncultured bacterium
Lineage: Bacteria
Description: partial 16S ribosomal RNA
Rfam family: Bacterial small subunit ribosomal RNA
Source: RNAcentral
UGAGUAACCUGCCCUUCUCAUCGGAAUAAGCGUUGGAAACGACGUCUAAUGCCGAAUACGACUUCGGAAGGCAUCUUCUGAAGUGGAAAGCUCCGGCGGAGAAGGAUGGGCUCGCGGCCUAUCAGCUUGUUGGUGGGGUAAUGGCCCACCAAGGCGACGACGGGUAGCCGGCCUGAGAGGGUGACCGGCCACACUGGGACUGAGACACGGCCCAGACUCCUACGGGAGGCAG